This is a transfer RNA of Endocarpon pusillum Z07020, 71 nucleotides long. It matches the Rfam family "tRNA". From Rfam's summary of the family: Transfer RNA (tRNA) molecules are approximately 80 nucleotides in length. Their secondary structure includes four short double-helical elements and three loops (D, anti-codon, and T loops). Further hydrogen bonds mediate the characteristic L-shaped molecular structure. tRNAs have two regions of fundamental functional importance: the anti-codon, which is responsible for specific mRNA codon recognition, and the 3' end, to which the tRNAs corresponding amino acid is attached (by aminoacyl-tRNA synthetases). tRNAs cope with the degeneracy of the genetic code in two manners: having more than one tRNA (with a specific anti-codon) for a particular amino acid; and 'wobble' base-pairing, i.e. permitting non-standard base-pairing at the 3rd anti-codon position. Lineage: Eukaryota; Fungi; Ascomycota; Eurotiomycetes; Verrucariales; Verrucariaceae. The record is from Rfam.
ACGGCCAUAAGUUAAUGGUAAACUAAUCGUCUUCCAAACGAAUAAUACCGAUUCGAAUUCGGUUGGCCGUA